Molecule: ribosomal RNA, 426 nt
Filed under: uncultured Ferrimicrobium sp.
Lineage: Bacteria; Bacillati; Actinomycetota; Acidimicrobiia; Acidimicrobiales; Acidimicrobiaceae
Description: bacterial SSU rRNA
Rfam family: Bacterial small subunit ribosomal RNA
Source: RNAcentral
GUAGGGAAUCUUGCGCAAUGGGCGAAAGCCUGACGCAGCAACGCCGCGUGGGGGAUGACGGCUCUAGGGUUGUAAACCCCUUUCAGCAGGGACGAAAAUGACGGUACCUGCAGAAGAAGCCCCGGCCAACUACGUGCCAGCAGCCGCGGUAACACGUAGGGGGCGAGCGUUGUCCGGAAUUAUUGGGCGUAAAGAGCUCGUAGGCGGUUUGGUAAGUCGGAUGUGAAAACUCAGGGCUCAACCCGGAGAGGCCAUCCGAUACUGCCAUGACUAGAGUCCGGUAGAGGAGUGUGGAAUUCCUGGUGUAGCGGUGAAAUGCGCAGAUAUCAGGAGGAACACCAACGGCGAAGGCAGCACUCUGGGCCGGUACUGACGCUGAGGAGCGAAAGCGUGGGGAGCAAACAGGAUUAGAUACCCCGGUAGUCC